RNAcentral lists this ribosomal RNA (541 nucleotides) under uncultured bacterium. RNAcentral's name for it is "bacterial SSU rRNA". It matches the Rfam family "Bacterial small subunit ribosomal RNA", at positions 355 to 896 of the family's 1533-position model. The record is from RNAcentral.
UAAGGAAUAUUGGGCAAUGGAGGCAACUCUGACCCAGCCAUCCCGCGUGAAGGAUGAAGGCCCUAUGGGUUGUAAACUUCUUUUGUUUGGGAAGAAAUCAGGACAUUCAUGUGCUGUUGACGGUACCUUACGAAUAAGCACCGGCUAACUCCGUGCCAGCAGCCGCGGUAAUACGGAGGGUGCAAGCGUUAUCCGGAAUCACUGGGUUUAAAGGGUGCGUAGGCGGCUAAAUAAGUCAGAGGUGAAAGCUGGCAGCUCAACUGUCAAACUGCCUUUGAUACUGUUUGGCUUGAAUCAGGUUAAGGUAGGCAGAAUGUGGCAUGUAGCGGUGAAAUGCAUAGAUAUGCCAUAGAAUACCAAUUGCGAAGGCAGCUUGCUGGGCCUGAAUUGACGCUGAGGCACGAAAGCGUGGGGAUCAAACAGGAUUAGAUACCCUGGUAGUCCACGCCCUAAACGAUGUUAACUCGACAUAUGGUCUUCGGAUUGUGUGUCCAAGCGAAAGCGUUAAGUUAACCACCUGGGGAGUACGUUCGCAAGAAUG